Molecule: unclassified non-coding RNA, 203 nt
Filed under: Hevea brasiliensis (rubber tree)
Lineage: Eukaryota; Viridiplantae; Streptophyta; Magnoliopsida; Malpighiales; Euphorbiaceae
Source: RNAcentral
AGCAAUGACACGGACUGAACUAACUUUAACCACACCUGUCCCACAGAAAAUAACCAGCAUCCUUUUAGAGGGAUCCGACUUGUGAGUAGCGGAAAAUUUGAGGCGAUUGAUAUCUGGGUUCUGGCCAUGAAUGGCUCGAAAUUCUUGCAGAGACUGUUCAAUUUCAGAGCUGGAAACAGAAUAGCCUCUGUCUCUCAACAUCU